UACGUAGGGUGCGAGCGUUAAUCGGAAUUACUGGGCGUAAAGCGUGCGCAGGCGGUUUUGUAAGCCAGAUGUGAAAUCCCCGGGCUUAACCUGGGAACUGCAUUUGGGACCGCAAGGCUUGAGUACGGCAGAGGGGGGUAGAAUUCCUGGUGUAGCAGUGAAAUGCGUAGAUAUCAGGAGGAAUACCGAUGGCGAAGGCAGCCCCCUGGGUCGAUACUGACGCUCAUGCACGAAAGCGUGGGGAGCAAACAGG
Molecule: ribosomal RNA, 253 nt
Filed under: uncultured bacterium
Lineage: Bacteria
Description: partial 16S ribosomal RNA
Rfam family: Bacterial small subunit ribosomal RNA
Source: RNAcentral